Molecule: microRNA precursor, 94 nt
Filed under: Canis lupus familiaris (dog)
Lineage: Eukaryota; Metazoa; Chordata; Mammalia; Carnivora; Canidae
Description: mir-8799 microRNA precursor family
Rfam family: mir-8799 microRNA precursor family
Source: Rfam by way of RNAcentral
GGGGGAGCACCAGAUCCUGGGCUGUGUCGGUGGCGCCCUGCGCUCCCGGGCCUGCGCUGUUGGAUUCGCGCAGCCCCUUCUGCGCAGAGCCCCU